RNAcentral lists this non-coding RNA (40 nucleotides) under Trypanosoma brucei brucei. The record is from RNAcentral. Lineage: Eukaryota; Euglenozoa; Kinetoplastea; Trypanosomatida; Trypanosomatidae.
AAAACCUAAACCAGAAAUAUGGAGCAGAGAGAUUAAUGGU